This 871-nucleotide ribosomal RNA is filed under the name uncultured bacterium. Its description in RNAcentral is "bacterial SSU rRNA". It matches the Rfam family "Bacterial small subunit ribosomal RNA", at positions 338 to 1229 of the family's 1533-position model. The record is from RNAcentral.
CCUACGGGGGGCAGCAGUGGGGAAUAUUGGGCAAUGGGCGGAAGCCUGACCCAGCGACGCCGCGUGAAGGAGGAAGGCUUUCGAGUUGUAAACUUCUUUGGGGAGGGACGAAGAUGAUGGUACCUCCAGAACAAGCCACGGCUAACUACGUGCCAGCAGCCGCGGUAAUACGUAGGUGGCGAGCGUUAUCCGGAUUUACUGGGUGUAAAGGGCGCGCAGGCGGCCCUGGAAGUCAGAUGUGAAAGAUCAAGGCUUAACUUUGACAGGUCAUCUGAAACUUUGGGGCUUGAGUAUCAGAGGGGAAAGUGGAAUUCCUAGUGGAGCGGUAAAAUGCACAGAGAUUAGGAGGAACACCGGUGGCGAAGGCGACUUUCUGGCUGACAACUGACGCUGAGGCGCGAAAGCGUGGGGAGCAAACAGGAUUAGAUACCCUGGUAGUCCACGCCGUAAACGAUGAUUACUGGGUGUAGGGAGUAUCGACUCUCUCUGUGCCGAAGCAAACGCGAUAAGUAAUCCACCUGGGGAGUACGGCCGCAAGGCUAAAACUCAAAGGAAUUGACGGGGACCCGCACAAGCAGUGGAGUAUGUGGUUUAAUUCGAGGCAACGCGAAGAACCUUACCAGGGAUUGACAUCCUGCGCUAGGCCUGGAGACAGGUUGUUCCUUCGGGACGCAGAGACAGGUGGUGCAUGGUUGUCGUCAGCUCGUGUCGUGAGAUGUUCGGUUAAGUCCGGCAACGAGCGCAACCCUUGUUGUCAGUUACCAUCAUUAAGUUGGGGACUUUGGCGAGACUGCCGUUGACAAAACGGAGGAAGGUGGGGAUGACGUCAAAUCAUCAUGCCCCUUAUAUCCUGGGCUACACACGUACUACA